Cercocebus atys (sooty mangabey) is the source of this 105-nucleotide small nuclear RNA. The record is from Ensembl. NCBI's taxonomy places the organism in Eukaryota, Metazoa, Chordata, Mammalia, Primates, Cercopithecidae.
GUACUUGCUUUGGCAGCACAAUACUAAAACUGGAACGAUACAGAGAAGAUUAGCAGGCCCCUGUGCAAGGAUGACACACAAAUUCAUGAAGUAUUUUAUAUUAAA